UACGAAGGGGGCUAGCGUUGUUCGGAUUUACUGGGCGUAAAGAGCGUGUAGGCGGCCAAGCAGGUCCGUUGUGAAAACUGGAGGCUUAACCUCCAGACGUCGACGGAAACCGCGUGGCUAGAGUCCGGAAGAGGAGAGUGGAAUUCCUGGUGUAGCGGUGAAAUGCGCAGAUAUCAGGAAGAACACCAAUGGCGAAGGCAGCUCUCUGGGACGGUACUGACGCUGAGACGCGAAAGCGUGGGGAGCGAACGGG
Molecule: ribosomal RNA, 253 nt
Filed under: uncultured bacterium
Lineage: Bacteria
Description: partial 16S ribosomal RNA
Rfam family: Bacterial small subunit ribosomal RNA
Source: RNAcentral